AGCGAGAUGGCGCAGCUGGUAGCGCGCUGGGCUCAUAUUGCAUUGCAACAUAGACACCCAGAGGUCGUCGGAUCGAAACUGACUCUCGCUA
Transfer RNA from Puccinia graminis f. sp. tritici, 91 nucleotides. It matches the Rfam family "tRNA". From Rfam's summary of the family: Transfer RNA (tRNA) molecules are approximately 80 nucleotides in length. The record is from Rfam. Lineage: Eukaryota; Fungi; Basidiomycota; Pucciniomycetes; Pucciniales; Pucciniaceae.